RNAcentral lists this long non-coding RNA (1214 nucleotides) under Ovis aries (sheep). RNAcentral's name for it is "lncRNA (ENSOARG00000026006.1)". The record is from RNAcentral. Lineage: Eukaryota; Metazoa; Chordata; Mammalia; Artiodactyla; Bovidae.
AAUAACAAAAUAUCACAGUGCAUGCUAUAUAUCAUAAAAAGCACCCAACGCCAAGAGUCAACUCACCGGAAGAAGAUGCUGAUUCUGGGAAAGAUUGAAGGCUAAAGGAGAAGAGGGCGGCAGAGGAUGAGAUGUACCUGAAGAGUGGCCUCAGAUGGAGACUCAAAGAACCAGACACUGCAGGAAUGCCAAGAAUGACCUGGGGAACCACAGUUUUGGGUAUUUACUUGGAUUCCAGUACCCACUCACUGAAUGACUUAAAAACAUGCCAUUUCCCUUAUGACUAUCCAUUUGUUAUUAAGCAAUAUUUAAGAAAUAAUAAUGUGUAUUGUUAUGGGAAAAUUAUGCCCCUGUCAGAACAUAAUUUCUCUGAUAGCAUGUACAUUAGAAGUCAGUAAAUCUUUGCUGAAUGAAAGCAAAUAUGAAAUAAAAGAAUUCUGGGAAAAUCUGGUCUGGUUGUAAUAUUAUGUUUUGAAAUGACAGAUAGGAACUACUAUUCCAGGAGACAAUGUACUUAGUCAGACUAAACUCUUUUUCAUAUUGAAGGUAAAAAGAACCAGAAAUUUGAGCACUAUCUUUGGGGAAAAUACUUAAGAGACCAUUGAACUAUCAAUUAUACCAAAAUAGCUGAAGCAAGUAUGAAUAACAUUAAUAAAUUAUUCUUGUUGCCAACAUUCAGAAUAUAGAAUUUAAGAAAAGAAUAUUUUAUAAAUGUUUGGACACUACUUAUGCAUUUUAAGUUUUAUCUAUAUGUCUAUGAAAAAAAAAAUCAAAGCCAAACAAAUAAAAUUGUACUGUGUCCUUCAAACUGAUUGUGGAAAUGUGUUUUUGUCUUUUGCCUACAUUUCUCUCUUGCCAAUAAUCAAGUUUACUGACACUAAACCAAUGACACAUAAAACUGUUUUCCUGAAUAUGAAUAUUAAUUUAAAAAUGAGUCAAGAAAUAUAAUUUUGUAGAAUGUCUUUGAUAUACACAGUCAAGUAGGAAUAUUUUAUAGCCUUCAAGUAGAUAUUGUCCAUUACAAAUAAACCACAUGUAAUCAUGCUGUUAAGCAGGUAAUAUUAAUGAGAUUAUUAAGGGGUUUCCCUGGUGGUCCAAUGAUUGGGACUUUGUCUUCCGAUGCAGGGGUGCAUGUUCAAUCCCUGGUCAGAGUUAAGAUCUCAGACACCACACAGUCAAAAAACCAAAACAUAAAAAAGAAUCAAUAUUGUAAC